Molecule: long non-coding RNA, 2296 nt
Organism: Rosa chinensis
Lineage: Eukaryota; Viridiplantae; Streptophyta; Magnoliopsida; Rosales; Rosaceae
Exons: 4
Source: RefSeq, a predicted model, not a curated record
AAGCUCUGUGAGAGAAUCUUAAUAUCUACUUCCUCGUGAUCUUUCUUCUAUUUCCUCUCUGUUAAUCUCACUGCAUUAUCUUCUACACUUUUCUCAGUUUGAACCAGAGAUCGGAGAUAAAAUUCCUCAAAGAAAAAAGUCACGGUUCUUUUCUCUUUCGCUCUCUCGAGAUCUCAAACAAUUUUGAUCGGUUUCUUCUGCCGUGAUCCGCCAAAACACGUCGUCGUCGGCGAGGUUGGAAGGACUAACGUCUCCAGGAACGAUGCCUUCGCCGCGAUCUGCAACAAGUACGACCGAUACGACAUCUACAAGUAGAAAGACUCUAACGUCUCCGGUGCCGAUGCAUUCGCUCGCCUCUACUCCGCCAUCGAGUCCGACAUUGAAGCUGCUCUUCAGAAAGCGGAGCUUGCUUCAAAAGAAAAAAGUAUGGCAUCUGCAGGUGCUCUGACUGCCAAGAUUCGCCGGACCAAGGCUCCAUUGCUUGAAGAGGUUCCCAAGUUGCAGAGAUUCGCUGUAAAGAAGUGCAGUCAUCUGCAUAUAUGCUAGAACUUGUUUAGCGCUGGAAGGUGAUUUUGGAUGGGUAUUGAUUGGACAAAAGAUGAUUGCUUUUGAAGAGAAUUCUUGGCAGGUAAAUGAAUAUACAUAUGCCUAUUGAUUUCUCCGCUUGUAUGCAUCACAUAUCUACAUCCUGCUAAUUAGCUCAAGAAUGGUGUGGCCUUCAAUUUCUAAUGGUCUUCAUAGGAAAUGAAAUUUGUGAAAUAACCUACCAUGUUUUGUGUUCUAGUUAUUAAGGUUGCUGAUUAAGAAUGUGAAUAACUCAUCCUAUAUGGGUAAAAUUGUUUGAACUUUGGGUAGUCUGCAUAUUGGUGGAUAUUAAGAAUGUAAGAGACAAACUGUGGCUUCCAGUUUAUCUAUUUUCCUGUUCAUCUAUUUUCCUAUUCAUGUAUUAUCAAUUAGCCAUUGUUCAUGUAUUAUCAACGAGUUCGAUUCGAGGUGCGGACCUACUUGGCAUUGCAUCGUCGUUCGCAAUUUCGGUAACUCCUUCAAUUUUCAGUUUCAUAUUCUGGCCUGCUUUUUUUUUUUUUUUUUUUUCUAUCAAGGUGUUUUGGUCAAGAUUUAGUAUGUGAUAGAAUUGAGUGAUGGUGAACAAAUCUAAUGGAUAGUGUUGUGCUUUUAAGUAGCAAUUUUGAUGAGAAUGGAUAGAGCUGUUUAAGAAGGAAUAGAUCUAAGCUUUGUUUGGAAAUUUACAGUUUUUUAAGUUGACAAGUAGAAUGGUCUAAUGGAUAAUUCUACUUGGUUCUUCAAGCUUGACGAGUCUGAAAGUUGAAGAUAAUUAAAUCGUCAGGUCUUUUGACAGGUUCGGGUGCGGAUUCGAGUGAGUUUGGAUGAAUUUGAUUUACAUUUUCAAUUUCUGUUCUUGUUUCUAUUUGGAUGGCCUGGAAUUAAAGCAAGGAAAUUUUGGCGGUGGUUGUAGUCUGCUGGUUUAGUAGUGAAGAAGUUAGCUUUAGUUAUUGGUUUUGACUUGCAUUUUUGACAAGCGAGAGUUGAGUUUCAAGUAUCUUUAAAAUUUUGGUUAUUGUAGUUGUAGCUGAUUGUUUAUGCUGGCUUUGAUGGAGAAUGAGAAUAACUCUUGCUCGUGCACUCUUUAAAGAGCCUGACUUGUUACUGCUUGAUGAAGCUACAGUAUGUUGGUCAUAUCCUUUGGGAUUUUCAUUAGAAUUCUUUAAUGUUUGGCAUGUGUAUUUCAUUUAUAGAGGCAAAAUGAACUAUUAAGAUUACUGAGAAUUUAUGAAGGAUCUGGUUUUAGCAUAAUAAAAUAACAUCACAACAUUAAGUACCUGGGCAUGUUUCAUGUUUUUUUUUUUUUUGAAAACUUGCAUGUUUCAAUGUUUCAUGUAUUGACGAUGUGCACAUGCACACACGGAUGUAUGGCUACUGCUUUGCAAUUGAGAUUUGUUGAAUUGUACCUAAUAUGUGAUACUUACAAUUUAAAUGUUGUGGUGUUUUUAUUCAAAAACUGAUCUUGUUGAUGCUUACAAUUUACAUGGUUGGUCAAGGAUCGGCUCAGGUGCCAAGGGAAAAUGGAUAUUUCCUUAAAGGUCAAGGAUUGGCUCACUUGUGAGAUAGUAUAUGUCAGAAAUUGCUGGAGCUGAAACCAAGAAUGCCUCAUCGAAUUUUUUGUAUAAAUUGUAAAAUGCACAAGUUGUUCUUUAUCAUUCAGGAGUACAACAAGAUGUUGAAGCCAAGCCAUGUGUUCCAAUAGUUUAUUAAUAGAUAAAAUGUCGUUUUUCUUGUU